UCGCCUGUUUAUCAAAAACAUGUCCUUUUGGGAAAAAUUGAAGGUCUAGCCUGCCCACUGAAUGUUUUGAAGGGCCGCGGUAUUCUGACCGUGCAAAGGUAGCAUAAUCAUUAGUCUCUUUAUUGGGGGCUAGAAUGAAUGGCUGGACGAGGUACUGACUGUCUCAUUGUAGAUGAGGGUAGAAUUUAACUUUUAAGUUAGAAGGCUUAAUUGAAUUUGAAGGACGAGAAGACCCUAUAGAGCUUUAUACCAAGAGUGUAUUGAGUGUGUAGAUGGUGUGGCUUGUUACAUUAAUUGGUAUUUUAUUGGGGUGAUGGGAAGACUAAAUGAACUCUUUUUAAUAUAAAGUCAUUGAUGUAUGAAUAGUUGAUCCGUUAUUAGUGAUUAUAAGACUAAGUUACCUUAGGGAUAACAGCGUAAUCUUUUUUGAGAGUUCUGAUCGACAAGAAGGGUUGCGACCUCGAUGUUGGAUUAAGGUUAAAUUUGGGUGUAGAUGUUCAAANNUUUAAGUCUGUUCGACUUUUAAAUCCUUACAUGAUCUGAGUUCAAACCGGAGA
This 557-nucleotide ribosomal RNA is filed under the name Beloneuria stewarti. RNAcentral describes it as "partial 16S ribosomal RNA". It matches the Rfam family "Bacterial large subunit ribosomal RNA", at positions 1796 to 2622 of the family's 2925-position model. Lineage: Eukaryota; Metazoa; Arthropoda; Insecta; Plecoptera; Perlidae. The record is from RNAcentral.